Molecule: ribosomal RNA, 582 nt
Filed under: Sphaeroma serratum
Lineage: Eukaryota; Metazoa; Arthropoda; Malacostraca; Isopoda; Sphaeromatidae
Description: SSU rRNA
Rfam family: Eukaryotic small subunit ribosomal RNA
Source: RNAcentral
CAGUCAUAUGCUUGUCUCAAAGACUAAGCCAUGCAUGUCUAAGUACAGGCCUACCUAAGGCGAAACCGCAAAUGGCUCAUUAAAUCAGUCUUAAAUCCAUUGGGUUUUGACCAAAACUGACUCGGAUAACCGUGGCAAUUCUAGAGCUAAUACGUGCAAUUAAGUUCCGACCUCGUCGCUACAAAAGUGUAGAGGAAGGGGCGCAUUUAUUAGAAUCAUAAACCGAGCGAGCUUCGGCUCGACUCAUUGAGUUUUUGAUGACUCUGGAUAACUAAGCCGAGCGCUGAGGCCUUCGAGCCGGCGCCGUACCCACCGAGUGUCUGCCUUAUCAGCUUUAGACUGUAGGCUAUUCGCCUACAUUGGCUGUCACGGGUGACGGGGAAUCAGGGUUCGAUUCCGGAGAGGGAGCCUGAGAAACGGCUACCACAUCUAAGGAAGGCAGCAGGCACGCAAAUUACCCCAUCCCAGUUUGGGGAGGUAGUGACGAUAAAUAACGAUGCGUGACCGUUCCGAGGCCUCGCAAUCGGAAUGAGUCCAAUCUAAACAUGUGGACGAUAAGCCAUUGGAGGGCAAGUCUGGUGC